UAUAAACAGGAUUUAACUUAUAAAGUUUGGUUGCUGUAAUCCUUUACAAUUUACUGUACAGAUAUGAAGAUGUUUGUUUAAUACCAUAGUUGGAUAAGAAGAUGGUGACCGAUUUUGACUGGUCUUCACUGAACAUUUGAAACAAAAA
This is a long non-coding RNA of Mytilus trossulus (common blue mussel), 148 nucleotides long. RefSeq lists it as uncharacterized. NCBI's taxonomy places the organism in Eukaryota, Metazoa, Mollusca, Bivalvia, Mytilida, Mytilidae. The record is from RefSeq and is a predicted model, not a curated record. The transcript is spliced from 3 exons.